Molecule: ribosomal RNA, 174 nt
Filed under: Triticum aestivum (bread wheat)
Lineage: Eukaryota; Viridiplantae; Streptophyta; Magnoliopsida; Poales; Poaceae
Description: partial small subunit ribosomal RNA
Source: RNAcentral
AUGGGUCAGAUUUUUUCCGGGAAAGCUAUAUAUUAUUCACCAGAAUCGGCUCUUGCCGCUGGGAAGGAACAACCUGGCAAGUCUACAAAAGCUACAAAUAAAUACUACAAAAAAUCAAGUAUAGACGAUCUAGUUUUAAGGGCGACAAUGGACUCAAUUACUAGAAUUGGAUAA